Sander lucioperca (pikeperch) is the source of this 68-nucleotide small nucleolar RNA. Its record names the gene SNORD24. It matches the Rfam family "Small nucleolar RNA SNORD24". From Rfam's summary of the family: U24 is a member of the C/D class of snoRNA which contain the C (UGAUGA) and D (CUGA) box motifs. C/D box snoRNAs have been shown to act as methylation guides for a number of RNA targets. U24 is encoded within an intron of the gene for ribosomal protein L7a in mammals, chicken and Fugu. The record is from Ensembl. Lineage: Eukaryota; Metazoa; Chordata; Actinopteri; Perciformes; Percidae.
UGCAUAUGAUGUGAACGAAUAUUUGCUAUCUGAAUAACUGAUGACAUUCCACCAAGAUCACUGAUGCA